This 141-nucleotide ribosomal RNA is filed under the name uncultured bacterium. RNAcentral's name for it is "partial 16S ribosomal RNA". It matches the Rfam family "Bacterial small subunit ribosomal RNA", at positions 354 to 509 of the family's 1533-position model. The record is from RNAcentral.
UGGGGGGAUAUUGCACAAUGGGGGGAAACCCGUGAUGCAGCGACGCCGCGUGUGGGAAGACGGUCCUCUGGAUUGUAAACCACUGUCCCCAGGGACGAAGAUGACGGUACCUGGGGAGGAAGCUCCGGCUAACUACGUGCC